GGAGGGUGCAAGCGUUAAUCGGAAUUACUGGGCGUAAAGGGCGCGUAGGUUAUUAAGUAAGUUGGCUGUGAAAGCCCCCGGGCUUAACCUGGGAUGGUCAGUCAAAACUGCUUGACUAGAGUGCAGUAGAGGGUAGUGGAAUUUCAGGUGUAGCGGUGAAAUGCGUAGAGAUCCGAAGGAACACCAGUGGCGAAGGCGGCUACCUGGACUGACACUGACACUGAUGCGCGAAAGCGUGGGGAGCGAACAGGGAUUAGAUACCCUGGUAGUCCACGCCGUAAACGAUGUCAACUAGCCCGUUGGAUAAUUUAAUUAUUUAGUGGCGCAGCUAACGCGAUAAGUUGACCGCCUGGGGAGUACGGUCGCAAGAUUA
Molecule: ribosomal RNA, 373 nt
Filed under: uncultured organism
Description: partial 16S ribosomal RNA
Rfam family: Bacterial small subunit ribosomal RNA
Source: RNAcentral